Molecule: transfer RNA, 75 nt
Filed under: Candidatus Bathyarchaeota archaeon
Lineage: Archaea; Thermoproteati; Candidatus Bathyarchaeota
Description: tRNA-Gly
Rfam family: tRNA
About the family: Transfer RNA (tRNA) molecules are approximately 80 nucleotides in length.
Source: RNAcentral
GCGGCGGUGAUCUAGCCUGGUUAAGAUGCUGCCCUGCCACGGCAGAAAGCGCGGGUUCGAAUCCCGCCCGCCGCA